UACGGAGGGUGCAAGCGUUAUCCGGAUUCACUGGGUUUAAAGGGUGCGUAGGUGGGCAAGUAAGUCAGUGGUGAAAUCUCCGGGCUUAACCCGGAAACUGCCAUUGAUACUAUUUGUCUUGAAUACUGUGGAGGUCAGCGGAAUAUGUCAUGUAGCGGUGAAAUGCUUAGAUAUGACAUAGAACACCAAUUGCGAAGGCAGCUGACUACGCGAGUAUUGACACUGAGGCACGAAAGCGUGGGGAUCAAACAGG
RNAcentral lists this ribosomal RNA (253 nucleotides) under uncultured bacterium. Its description in RNAcentral is "partial 16S ribosomal RNA". It matches the Rfam family "Bacterial small subunit ribosomal RNA", at positions 524 to 776 of the family's 1533-position model. The record is from RNAcentral.